RNAcentral lists this ribosomal RNA (105 nucleotides) under Actinomycetes bacterium. RNAcentral's name for it is "partial 23S ribosomal RNA". It matches the Rfam family "Bacterial large subunit ribosomal RNA", at positions 2820 to 2925 of the family's 2925-position model. Lineage: Bacteria; Bacillati; Actinomycetota; Actinomycetes. The record is from RNAcentral.
CAUUUGGAGUAAGACCCCAUGUAGAUUACAUGGUUGAUAGGUCAGAAGUGUAAGCGCAGCAAUGUGUGUAGCUGACUGAUACUAAUAGGUCGAGGACUUAUUUUU